CCUACGGGGUGCAGCAGUAGGGAAUCUUCCACAAUGGGCGGAAGCCUGAUGGAGCAAAGCCGCGUGGGUGAAGAAGGUCUUCGGAUCGUAAAACCCUGUUGUUAGAGAAGCAAGUGCGUGAGAGUAACUGUUCACGUUUCGACGGUAUCUAACCAGAAAGCCACGGCUACCUACGAGCCAGCAGGCGCGGUAAGACGUGGGUGGCAAGCGUUAUCCGGAUUUAUUGGGGGUACAGGGAAAGCGGGCGGUCUUUUAAGUCUGAUGUGAAAGGCUUCGGCUUAACCGGAGUAGUGCAUUGGAAACUGGGAGACUUGAGUGCAGAAGAGGAGAGUGGAACGCCAUGUGUAGCGGUGAAAUGCGUAGAUAUAUGGAAGAACACCAGUGGCGAAAGCGGCUCUCUGGUCUGUAACUGACGCUGAGGUUCGAAAGCGUGGGUAGCAAACAGGAUUAGAUACCCGAGUAGUC
This 465-nucleotide ribosomal RNA is filed under the name uncultured bacterium. RNAcentral describes it as "partial 16S ribosomal RNA". It matches the Rfam family "Bacterial small subunit ribosomal RNA", at positions 338 to 795 of the family's 1533-position model. The record is from RNAcentral.